GACGAACGCUGGCGGCGUGCUUAACACAUGCAAGUCGAACGUGAUUUUUGUGGAAAUUCUUUCGGGAAUGGAAAUGAAAUGAAAGUGGCGAACGGGUGAGUAACACGUGAGCAACCUACCUUACACAGGGGGAUAGCCGUUGGAAACGACGAUUAAUACCGCAUGAGACCACAGAAUCGCAUGAUAUAGGGGUCAAAGAUUUAUCGGUGUAAGAAGGGCUCGCGUCUGAUUAGCUAGUUGGAAGGGUAAAGGCCUACCAAGGCGACGAUCAGUAGCCGGUCUGAGAGGAUGAACGGCCACAUUGGAACUGAGACACGGUCCAAACUCCUACGGGAAGCAGCAGUGGGGAAUAUUGCACAAUGGGGGGAACCCUGAUGCAGCGACGCCGCGUGAGCGAAGAAGGUUUUCGAAUCGUAAAGCUCUGUCCUAUGAGAAAAUAAUGACGGUAUCAUAGGAGGAAGCCCCGGCUAAAUACGUG
RNAcentral lists this ribosomal RNA (478 nucleotides) under uncultured bacterium. Its description in RNAcentral is "partial 16S ribosomal RNA". It matches the Rfam family "Bacterial small subunit ribosomal RNA", at positions 28 to 507 of the family's 1533-position model. The record is from RNAcentral.